RNAcentral lists this ribosomal RNA (497 nucleotides) under uncultured bacterium. Its description in RNAcentral is "bacterial SSU rRNA". It matches the Rfam family "Bacterial small subunit ribosomal RNA", at positions 28 to 509 of the family's 1533-position model. The record is from RNAcentral.
GAUGAACGCUAGCGGCAGGCUUAAUACAUGCAAGUUGAGGGGCAGCAUGAUAUACGCGAGUAUAUUGAUGGCGACCGGCGGACGGGUGAGUAAUAGGUAGGAGACCUACCUCAUACAGGGGGAUAGCAUAGAGAAAUCUGUGGUAAUACCCCAUGAGGUUAUAUGAAUAGAGGCAUAUAAUCAAAGCAUAAGCGAUUAUGCGGUAUGAGAGGGGCCUACUGACCAUUAGCUAGUUGGUGAGGUAAGGGCUCACCAAGGCGAAGAUGGUUAGGGGUUUUGAGAGAGAGACCCCCCACAUUGGAACUGAGAGACGGUCCAGACUCCUACGGGAGGCAGCAGUAGGGAAUAUUGGGCAAUGGGCGAAAGCCUGACCCAGCCAUGCCGCGUGAAGGAAGACGGCCUUAUGGGUUGUAAACUUCUUUACUACGCGAAUAGAGGUUAGUACGAGAUACUAAUAGGAAGGUAGUGUAGUAAAAAGCACCGGCUAACUCCGUGCC